GACAUUGAUGAUGGUAGCGAAAGAUUAUACUGCGACGACACGAAGACGGAGGAAUCAACGUCCAGUGAUACGGUAGAGAGAUUGACCUAAAUGUAAAAGUCCACAAACCCUGACACUUUUUGUCGGAUAUAAUAGGAAGCCAUAGACACUUAUAAGGGCUCAGCUUCCAAGAACACUAUAACCAACAAAAAGUGUCGGCUUCUAGACUUCUACAUCUAAGCCAAAACCUCCACCAUAUCAUUCGGCGUUGAUUCCUCCGCCGCCGCCGCCAUCAUCGAUGUCCCAUUUCAGGCAGAAUCAGGGUUAUCGGGUGAAAGAAGGAUCGUCAUUUUCAUAUCAGUACGUUCCUCUUCCUCCCCUGCCGAGAAAUCCAUAUUCAUCGCCGCCUCCGCCUCCGCCGGAUUCUUUGUAUCCACAUCCGCCUCCUCCUCCACCUUCUCCGACACCGUGCCCACCUCCACCCUCUCCCCCUUCGUCUUUUCCCCCACCGUUCUCUCUGCUGAGAAAUCGGUAUCCACCUCCGUUCCCUUCUCCUUCGUGUCCUCCUCCACCUUCUCAGCCACGGUUCCGUCUGCUUCCUCCUUCGUGUCCUCCCCCACCUUCUCAGACUGUUCGAUUUAAUCAGCCAGCUCCAUUGCCAGUGAAAAUUUCCAAUGAAACUGAGGAAGAGAGGAGGUUGAGGAAGAAGAGGGAAUUAGAAAAAGUAAGACGUAAACAGCGAUUAAGGGAAGCACAGAAUAGGAUUGUGGAGAAAACCAAAAAAAUAUUUUCUGGUAGGAAGGGUCAUGCGUCAAUUAGAUCCGACAGAAGCAUUGCCCCUUUGGUAAGGGGUGACAUGACAGACAACCGGUUGAAGAAGCAGCAGCUGAAGUAUAAAGACCAGGUUGUGAUUGCGAAUUUUGAUGGUGCUCCAACUGCUGGUUCAGAAACCUACAACAAGUUGGAUAAAACUGUUCGUGAUGCAUAUGAAUCACAGGUACGAGGUGAUGAUGCAGAUGAUCCUACUAUUGCGGCAUUUGGUGGAACAGUGGCCCAUUACACGCAUGUUCCAGCUAAGCUUGUUUUGCAAAAAAAGAUAGCUGGAGAGGAAAAAUCAAAUAAUGAAGUCGAACAUUUCCCAGAUGCUUCGAGAGUUACAGUAAAGAAGAGACCAACAGUAACUGCCAUUGAAAAAGAAGGGGGGGUUAUACAACAGCUUUGAAGGGGAAGUGGUUGAAGUCAGAGGAGAACAAAAUCAGUCAUGAAAAUGUUGUUGGCAAACAACCGAACAGUAUGCAUGAUUGAUUCCUUCACAGUUAUUUAUGCUGAUCAGCUAAUUUUCAGCAAGAAAAUAGAAAAAGAGAAAGGCUUAAACUUUUAGAUGAGAUGAUUACACAUUUAAACAUGGUAUCAGAGCAGACAGAGGUUUCAGGAUCGAAUCUCACCUCCUCCCAAACUAAAAAGAAUUUCCAUGUGCUUGGUCCAUGAAAAAAGAUCAGGUAAGAAGUCCACCCAUCUCAUAAACCACCAAUGUGGGACCUUCGUCAUUCUUUAACACUCCACCUCACGCCCCAUGUUUAACAUGAUCCUGGUCUGAUAUCAUCUUUCACCCCAAAAGCUAGCUCAAAGGGAGAAGGAUUGUCAAGCCUUUUAAGGAGGUCACUCAUCUUGUUAACCACCAAUGUGGAACUUUUGUCGUUCUUUAACACUUUUGGUUCAGUUAUCAUAUUAUCCGAUGUUGCUACUGUUCUCUUCUCCUUUAUUUUUAACAUGACUUAUUUACUAAUGUGUUUCUUUUCCAUACUUGUUUAUGAUAUUCUUUACUUGAAUUGAUGGUCUAUUGGAAAUAGCCUCUCUACCUUUGCAAGGUAGGACAAGGUUGCGUACACACCACCCUCCCCAGGCCCCACUUGUGGGAUUGCGUUGAGUAUGUUGUUGUUGUUUGUCCGUAUAUUAACUAACAGCUUUGCUGAUUUAGCGAAAUAAAGUUUUGUUUUCACAUUGUUUAAGACUUUAGGUGUAUUUGUUCAAUGUAGAAAGCUCCAAAGUGGUACUUGGAAUUUCUCAACGUCUUCCUCCUUUAAGCCCUUUUUGCAGUGUCAUAGCGGGAUUUGAUUGUUAUUUUUUGUUAUCCUCCAUUCUGUCUUUGUAGAUAUCUGUUAUGUCCCUUACAAUCACUUAUUGAUAAUGCAUGGGAUAGCAGUGAGAUGGUUAUGCAGAUUGGAGCGCCUCUAGAAGAGAGACACAAGACCAUUGGAUGAUGGCUUUUAAGGUUGAUUGUCAAGUCUCCUACAGAGUUGCUUCAACUUUUUAAGAGGCCCCAGUGAAUGCUGUGAAGGUACAAAUCUAUCGCCGUUUAACUAAAGCAGUCGUACAAGCUAUGCAACCUUCAAUAAGGUACUAUCCCU
Molecule: RNA transcript, 2387 nt
Organism: Solanum stenotomum
Lineage: Eukaryota; Viridiplantae; Streptophyta; Magnoliopsida; Solanales; Solanaceae
Gene name: protein PAF1 homolog
Exons: 8
Source: RefSeq, a predicted model, not a curated record